UACGUAGGCAGCGAGCGUUGUUCGGAAUUACUGGGCGUAAAGAGUGUGUAGGCGGUGCUCUAAGUUCGGUGUGAAAUCUCCUGGCUCAACUGGGAGGGUGCGCCGGAAACUGGAGUGCUUGAGCGUGGGAGAGGAAAGCGGAAUUCCUGGUGUAGCGGUGAAAUGCGUAGAUAUCAGGAGGAACACCUGUGGUGUAGACGGCUUUCUGGACCUAGCUGACGCUGAGACACGAAAGCGUGGGUAGCAAACAGG
RNAcentral lists this ribosomal RNA (252 nucleotides) under uncultured bacterium. RNAcentral's name for it is "partial 16S ribosomal RNA". It matches the Rfam family "Bacterial small subunit ribosomal RNA", at positions 524 to 776 of the family's 1533-position model. The record is from RNAcentral.